This 497-nucleotide ribosomal RNA is filed under the name uncultured bacterium. Its description in RNAcentral is "partial 16S ribosomal RNA". It matches the Rfam family "Bacterial small subunit ribosomal RNA", at positions 28 to 507 of the family's 1533-position model. The record is from RNAcentral.
GAUGAACGCUGGCGGCGUGCCUAAUACAUGCAAGUCGAGCGAAAAGACGAGGAGCUUGCUCUUCUGCCGUUAGCGGCGGACGGGUGAGUAACACGUGGAUAACCUACUUAUAAGACUGGGAUAACUUCGGGAAACCGGUGCUACUACCGGAUAAUAUAUUGAACCGCAUGGUUCAAUAGUGAAAGACGGUUUUGCUGUCACUUAUAGAUGGAUCCGCGCCGCAUUAGCUAGUUGGUAAGGUAACGGCUUACCAAGGCAACGAUGCGUAGCCGACCUGAGAGGGUGAUCGGCCACACUGGAACUGAGACACGGUCCAGACUCCUACGGGAGGCAGCAGUAGGGAAUCUUCCACAAUGGGCGAAAGCCUGACGGAGCAACGCCGCGUGAGUGAUGAAGGUCUUCGGAUCGUAAAACUCUGUUAUUAGGGAAGAACAAAUGUGUAAGUAACUAUGCACGUCUUGACGGUACCUAAUCAGAAAGCCACGGCUAACUACGUG